ACCGCGCCUAGCCCGACGGGGUGAAAUCCGGGUUCCCUUACCCGGUUGGCGCGGUCGUUUCCGUAAGGG
RNAcentral lists this non-coding RNA (69 nucleotides) under unclassified sequences. RNAcentral describes it as "int-alpA RNA". It matches the Rfam family "int-alpA RNA". From Rfam's summary of the family: Acidobacteria (1 example), Planctomycetes (1 example), Proteobacteria. Environment (Lake Washington) The record is from Rfam by way of RNAcentral.